AGGGAUGUAGUUCAGUGGUAGAACAUUUGCCUCGCAUAUACAAGGUCCUGGGUUUGAUCCCCAGAGUUACCA
Ictidomys tridecemlineatus (thirteen-lined ground squirrel) is the source of this 72-nucleotide non-coding RNA. The record is from Rfam. NCBI's taxonomy places the organism in Eukaryota, Metazoa, Chordata, Mammalia, Rodentia, Sciuridae.